UGGGGAAUUUUGGACAAUGGGCGAAAGCCUGAUCCAGCAAUGCCGCGUGUGUGAAGAAGGCCUUCGGGUUGUAAAGCACUUUUGUCCGGAAAGAAAUCCUUGGCUCUAAUACAGUCGGGGGAUGACGGUACCGGAAGAAUAAGCACCGGCUAACUACGUGCCAGCAGCCGCGGUAAUACGUAGGGUGCAAGCGUUAAUCGGAAUUACUGGGCGUAAAGCGUGCGCAGGCGGUUUGCUAAGACCGAUGUGAAAUCCCCGGGCUCAACCUGGGAACUGCAUUGGUGACUGGCAGGCUAGAGUAUGGCAGAGGGGGGUAGAAUUCCACGUGUAGCAGUGAAAUGCGUAGAGAUGUGGAGGAAUACCGAUGGCGAAGGCAGCCCCCUGGGCCAAUACUGACGCUCAUGCACGAAAGCGUGGGGAGCAAACAGGAUUAGAUAUCCUGGUAGUCCACGCCCUAAACGAUGUCAACUAGUUGUUGGGGAUUCAUUCCUUAGUAACGUAGCUAACGCGUGAAGUUGACCGCCUGGGGAGUACGGUCGCAAGAUUAAAACUCAAAUGAAUUGACGGGGUCAUAGCUG
Molecule: ribosomal RNA, 578 nt
Filed under: uncultured bacterium
Lineage: Bacteria
Description: partial 16S ribosomal RNA
Rfam family: Bacterial small subunit ribosomal RNA
Source: RNAcentral